This 429-nucleotide ribosomal RNA is filed under the name Verrucomicrobiota bacterium. RNAcentral describes it as "Verrucomicrobia bacterium partial 16S ribosomal RNA". It matches the Rfam family "Bacterial small subunit ribosomal RNA", at positions 355 to 776 of the family's 1533-position model. Lineage: Bacteria; Pseudomonadati; Verrucomicrobiota. The record is from RNAcentral.
UAGGGAAUCUUCGGCAAUGGGGGGAACCCUGACCGAGCAACGCCGCGUGAGUGAAGAAGGUUUUCGGAUCGUAAAGCUCUGUUGUUAGGGAAGAACGAGUGUGAGAAUGGAAAGUUCAUGCUGUGACGGUACUUAACCAGAAAGGGACGGCUAACUACGUGCCAGCAGCCGCGGUAAUACGUAGGUCCCGAGCGUUAUCCGGAUUUACUGGGCGUAAAGGGUGCGUAGGUGGUCUUUCAAGUCGGUGGUUAAAGGCUACGGCUCAACCGUAGUUAGCCUCCGAAACUGGAAGACUUGAGUGCAGGAGAGGAAAGUGGAAUUCCCAGUGUAGCGGUGAAAUGCGUAGAUAUUGGGAGGAACACCAGUAGCGAAGGCGGCUUUCUGGACUGCAACUGACACUGAGGCACGAAAGCGUGGGUAGCAAACAGG